UACAGGGGGGGCAAGCGUUGUUCGGAAUUACUGGGCGUAAAGGGCGCGUAGGCGGGCAUUCAAGUCUGUGGUGAAAUCCGACAGCUCAACUGUCGAACUGCCGUGGAUACUGGGUGGCUCGAGGGAGGUAGGGGCGCGCGGAACUAUUGGUGGAGCGGUGAAAUGCGUUGAUAUCAAUAGGAACUCCGGUGGCGAAGGCGGCGCGCUGGACCUCUUCUGACGCUGAGGCGCGAAAGCCAGGGGAGCAAACGGG
RNAcentral lists this ribosomal RNA (253 nucleotides) under uncultured bacterium. Its description in RNAcentral is "partial 16S ribosomal RNA". It matches the Rfam family "Bacterial small subunit ribosomal RNA", at positions 524 to 776 of the family's 1533-position model. The record is from RNAcentral.